Molecule: small nuclear RNA, 102 nt
Filed under: Ancylostoma caninum (dog hookworm)
Lineage: Eukaryota; Metazoa; Nematoda; Chromadorea; Rhabditida; Ancylostomatidae
Source: RNAcentral
CAUAAAUAGGAUCGAUUCCCGAAUUUGCGUGUCAUUCUUGUGCAGUGGCCAUACACGUCUUCUCUAUAUUGUUCAAGCUUUAGUAUAGGUUCAAGAAUGAAU